This 593-nucleotide ribosomal RNA is filed under the name Cephalobidae environmental sample. Its description in RNAcentral is "SSU rRNA". It matches the Rfam family "Eukaryotic small subunit ribosomal RNA", at positions 1024 to 1643 of the family's 1831-position model. The record is from RNAcentral. Lineage: Eukaryota; Metazoa; Nematoda; Chromadorea; Rhabditida; Cephalobidae.
UUCUGACCGUAAACGAUGCCAACUAGCGAUCCGCCGGUGGAUUUUUAGCCCUGGUGGGUAGCUUCCCGGAAACGAAAGUCUUCCGGUUCCGGGGGAAGUAUGGUUGCAAAGCUGAAACUUAAAGGAAUUGACGGAAGGGCACCACCAGGAGUGGAGCCUGCGGCUUAAUUUGACUCAACACGGGGAAACUCACCCGGCCCGGACACCGUAAGGAUUGACAGAUUGAUAGCUCUUUCAUGAUUCGGUGGUUGGUGGUGCAUGGCCGUUCUUAGUUCGUGGAUCGAUUUGUCUGGUUUAUUCCGAUAACGAGCGAGACUCUAGCCUACUAAAUAGUAACGAGAUUAUCAAUGUCUCAGUUGCUUCUUAGAGGGAUUUUCGGUGUUUAGCCGCACGAGAUUGAGCAAUAACAGGUCUGUGAUGCCCUUAGAUGUCCGGGGCUGCACGCGCGCUACACUGGCGAAAUCAGCGUGCUGUAUCCAUUCUCGAAAGGGAUUGGUAAACCCAUGAAAAUUUGCCGGGCUUGGGAUCGGAAAUUGCAAUUAUUUUCCGUGAACGAGGAAUUCCAAGUAAGUGCGAGUCAUCAACUCGCUCUG